Molecule: ribosomal RNA, 253 nt
Filed under: uncultured bacterium
Lineage: Bacteria
Description: partial 16S ribosomal RNA
Rfam family: Bacterial small subunit ribosomal RNA
Source: RNAcentral
GACGUAGGGCGCGAGCGUUGUCCGGAUUUAUUGGGCGUAAAGAGCUCGUAGGCGGCUUGUCGCGUCGACCGUGAAACCUCACAGCUCAACUGUGAGCCUGCGGUCGAUACGGGCAGGCUAGAGUUCGGUAGGGGAGACUGGAAUUCCUGGUGUAGCGGUGAAAUGCGCAGAUAUCAGGAGGAACACCGGUGGCGAAGGCGGAUCUCUGGGCCAUUACUGACGCUGAGGAGCGAAAGCGUGGGGAGCGAACAGG